RNAcentral lists this transfer RNA (81 nucleotides) under Bacillus tequilensis. Its description in RNAcentral is "tRNA-Leu". It matches the Rfam family "tRNA". Rfam says of the family: Transfer RNA (tRNA) molecules are approximately 80 nucleotides in length. Their secondary structure includes four short double-helical elements and three loops (D, anti-codon, and T loops). Further hydrogen bonds mediate the characteristic L-shaped molecular structure. tRNAs have two regions of fundamental functional importance: the anti-codon, which is responsible for specific mRNA codon recognition, and the 3' end, to which the tRNAs corresponding amino acid is attached (by aminoacyl-tRNA synthetases). tRNAs cope with the degeneracy of the genetic code in two manners: having more than one tRNA (with a specific anti-codon) for a particular amino acid; and 'wobble' base-pairing, i.e. permitting non-standard base-pairing at the 3rd anti-codon position. The record is from RNAcentral. Lineage: Bacteria; Bacillati; Bacillota; Bacilli; Caryophanales; Bacillaceae.
GCGCCCGUGGUGAAACAGCAGACACGUCGUCCUCAAAAGACGAUGCCUCACGGCGUGCAGGUGCGAAUCCUGCCGGGCGCA